CCCAAUUACAUACAAUGGCCUGUUACUCAUAAUUAAAAACAUCUUGUCCUCUGCUUUACCUUAACAUGUUACCAAGUACUUUCAUUUAUGUAGUAUUCUGUCUGUAUAGCAAUCUGUCUGUCUCCCUGUCUAAGCCCUCAUGUGUCUCUUGGGCUAUACAGGGCUUUGUUUGUGGAGGGUGAAACAAACUAAAGCAAAACAAAUACAUGUCUGGAAAAAGAGAGAUGGGAAACGUAGCAGACAGACACACAUGUGUUAAAAACCCUUAAAACAACGUCAGCAGAACCGUACUCAAACACAAAUGGACGUACCCUCACCCCAUCUCCGCCUUCCUUCCAUAGUCUCUGCUACUCUUCUCCUCCACCUCCUCCUCCACCUCUCCUUCACCCCUGGCUAUCUCAUGCCCAACCCACUCCAUCCACUAAAUAAUAGAAUAACAGGAUUUACAAUGUCCCUAAAUUCACACUAUGAUCCACUGUCUGUGUUUGUUGUUUACAGGAGCAGCCGCAGCAGGGGAAGCGUGGCCUUCUGGGUCAUAAGGCACAGCCCACCGUCGUCUGCUUUAAAAGAGGAAACAGGCUUCACAGGCCUCCUCAUUAUUCUGUCUGUUCUAGCGUGUUGCGUCGGAGGCCUGGCAUCUCGCAGUGACUACUACUGAAUGCCUGGACUCUCUUCACUGUUAAGCAGCCAGCAACCCAUCACCGAUUUAAAUAAUUUGUCUAUAUGUAUGUAUGUAUGUAUGUAUGUAUGUAUGUAUGUAUGUAUGUAUGUAUGUAUGUAUGUAUGUAUGUAUGUAUGUAUGUAUGUAUGUAUGUAUGUAUGUAUGUACAUCAAUUAUGGCACCCAUUACACUCCUGAUUUUCUUGCCCUCUUGGGGGCUAGGCUCAGGGGGGGUAUCAUAAAUAUAUGGCCUGUUAAGCCCUUUGAGACUGUACCUGUGAUUCAGGGCUAUACAUAUCAAAUUGAAUUGAGUUAAGUGCCACCAUUUAGCGCAAUCCUCUGUGGUUCAGUGUGUUAUCGUUAAUCAUUUUGAAAUGUAUUCCUCCACUCCUUGGCCAAUCGAGUGACCCAGGGUUUCUCGAUAUACACUGAACAACGUCAGCAUGGGCCCAAGUUUUAAUGACUUUAUCUUGUAAAAUAUUUGCUUGAAUAAUCUUGUCGGUAGAGCCCGUUGGGAAUGAUCUGCCUCAUUAAGCGGUGUGUAAUGAACCGAACGUUAGGUGCUUCAGAG
This 1231-nucleotide long non-coding RNA is filed under the name Gadus morhua (Atlantic cod). Its description in RNAcentral is "lncRNA (ENSGMOG00000036074.1)". Lineage: Eukaryota; Metazoa; Chordata; Actinopteri; Gadiformes; Gadidae. The record is from RNAcentral.